RNAcentral lists this ribosomal RNA (2920 nucleotides) under Lactiplantibacillus plantarum WCFS1. RNAcentral's name for it is "bacterial LSU rRNA". It matches the Rfam family "Bacterial large subunit ribosomal RNA". The record is from RNAcentral. Lineage: Bacteria; Bacillati; Bacillota; Bacilli; Lactobacillales; Lactobacillaceae. RNAcentral also lists the same sequence under 3 other names.
UUAAGUUAACAAGGGCGCAUGGUGAAUGCCUUGGCACUAGGAGCCGAUGAAGGACGGGACUAACACCGAUAUGCUUCGGGGAGCUGUACGUAAGCUAUGAUCCGGAGAUUUCCGAAUGGGGCAACCCAGCAGUUUUAAUCAACUGUUACCACUAGAUGAAUUCAUAGUCUAGUUGGAGGUAAACGCUGUGAACUGAAACAUCUCAUUAGCAGCAGGAAUAUAAAGAAAUUUCGAUUCCCUAAGUAGCGGCGAGCGAACGGGGAACAGCCCAAACCAAAGUGCUUGCACUUUGGGGUUGUAGGACUGAACAUUUGAGUUACCAAAGAACUUGAUAGUCGAAGGAUUUGGGAAAAUCCGCCAUAGAUGGUGAUAGCCCAGUAGAUUAAAUCAAAUUCUCUCAGUUCAGGAUCCUGAGUACGGCGGAACACGUGAAAUUCCGUCGGAAUCCGGGAGGACCAUCUCCCAAGGCUAAAUACUACCUAGUGACCGAUAGUGAACCAGUACCGUGAGGGAAAGGUGAAAAGCACCCCGGGAGGGGAGUGAAAUAGUUCCUGAAACCAUGUGCCUACAAUAAGUCAGAGCGCGUUAAUGCGUGAUGGCGUGCCUUUUGUAGAAUGAACCGGCGAGUUAUGAUCCCGUGCAAGGUUAAGACUAAAAAGUCGGAGCCGUAGCGAAAGCGAGUCUGAAAUGGGCGUUUUGAGUACGAGGUUAUAGACCCGAAACCAGGUGACCUAUCCAUGUCCAGGUUGAAGGUGCGGUAAAACGCACUGGAGGACCGAACCCGUGUAAGUUGAAAAUUGCUGGGAUGAGGUGUGGAUAGCGGUGAAAUUCCAAACGAACUUGGAGAUAGCUGGUUCUCUCCGAAAUAGCUUUAGGGCUAGCCUCGGAAUUAGGAUCAUGGAGGUAGAGCACUAUUUGGACUAGGGGCCCGUCUUGGGUUACUGAAUUCAGAUAAACUCCGAAUGCCAUUGAUUCAUAUCCGGGAGUCAGACGAUGAGUGAUAAGAUCCACCGUCGAAAGGGGAACAGCCCAGACCAUCAGUUAAGGUCCCUAAAUGUAUGCUAAGUGGAAAAGGAUGUGGAGUUGCAUAGACAACUAGGAUGUUGGCUCAGAAGCAGCCACCAUUUAAAGAGUGCGUAAUAGCUCACUAGUCGAGUGAUCCUGCGCCGAAAAUGUACCGGGGCUAAGCAUACUACCGAAACCAUGGAUGCGACCAUUAGGUCGCGUGAUAGGAGAGCGUUCUAAGGGCGGUGAAGCAAGAUCGUGAGGACUUGUGGAGCGCUUAGAAGUGAGAAUGCCGGUAUGAGUAGCGAAAGAUAGGUGAGAAUCCUAUCCACCGAAUGACUAAGGUUUCCUGGGGAAGGCUCGUCCUCCCAGGGUUAGUCGGGACCUAAGUCGAGGCCGAGAGGCGUAGACGAUGGAUAACAGGUUGAGAUUCCUGUACUAGUUAAGUGCGUUUGAGCAAUGGAGGGACGCAGGAGGCUAAGAUGUGCAUUCUGUUGGAUUAGAAUGUCCAAGCAGUAAGUCUUGUGAAGAGUCAAAUGCUUUUCACUUUAAGGACAAGCUGUGAUGGGGAGCGAAAUUUAGUAGCGAAGCGUCUGAUGUCACACUGCCGAGAAAAGCUUCUAGUGAGUACUUAACUACCCGUACCGCAAACCGACACAGGUAGUCGAGGAGAGAAUCCUAAGGUGAGCGAGUGAACUCUCGUUAAGGAACUCGGCAAAAUGACCCCGUAACUUCGGGAGAAGGGGUGCUGAUCGCAAGAUCAGCCGCAGUGAAUAGGCCCAGGCGACUGUUUAUCAAAAACACAGGUCUCUGCAAAAUCGUAAGAUGACGUAUAGGGGCUGACGCCUGCCCGGUGCUGGAAGGUUAAAAGGAUGGGUUAGCUUCGGCGAAGCUCAGAAUUGAAGCCCCAGUAAACGGCGGCCGUAACUAUAACGGUCCUAAGGUAGCGAAAUUCCUUGUCGGGUAAGUUCCGACCCGCACGAAAGGCGUAACGAUCUGGGCACUGUCUCAACGAGAGACUCGGUGAAAUUAUAUUGUCCGUGAAGAUGCGGACUACCCGCGACAGGACGGAAAGACCCCAUGGAGCUUUACUGUAGCUUGAUAUUGAGUGUUUGUACAGCUUGUACAGGAUAGGUAGGAGCCAUAGAAACCGGAACGCUAGUUUCGGUGGAGGCGUUGGUGGGAUACUACCCUCGCUGUAUGACCACUCUAACCCGCACCACUAAUCGUGGUGGGAGACAGUGUCAGGUGGGCAGUUUGACUGGGGCGGUCGCCUCCUAAAAAGUAACGGAGGCGCCCAAAGGUUCCCUCAGAAUGGUUGGAAAUCAUUCGCAGAGUGUAAAGGCACAAGGGAGCUUGACUGCGAGACAGACAGGUCGAGCAGGGACGAAAGUCGGGCUUAGUGAUCCGGUGGUACCGUAUGGAAGGGCCAUCGCUCAACGGAUAAAAGCUACCCUGGGGAUAACAGGCUUAUCUCCCCCAAGAGUCCACAUCGACGGGGAGGUUUGGCACCUCGAUGUCGGCUCAUCGCAUCCUGGGGCUGUAGUCGGUCCCAAGGGUUGGGCUGUUCGCCCAUUAAAGCGGUACGCGAGCUGGGUUCAGAACGUCGUGAGACAGUUCGGUCCCUAUCCGUCGCGGGCGUAGGAAAUUUGAGAGGACCUGUCCUUAGUACGAGAGGACCGGGAUGGACAUACCUCUGGUGUACCAGUUGUGCCGCCAGGCGCAUCGCUGGGUAGCUACGUAUGGAUGUGAUAAACGCUGAAAGCAUCUAAGUGUGAAACACACCUCGAGAUGAGAUUUCCCAUUCCUUUAUGGAAGUAAGACCCCUGAAAGAUGAUCAGGUAGAUAGGUUAGAAGUGGCAGUGCGGUGACGCAUGAAGCGGACUAAUACUAAUCGGUCGAGGACUUAACCAAG